This 1627-nucleotide unclassified non-coding RNA is filed under the name uncultured fungus. Its description in RNAcentral is "sequence contains 18S rRNA gene, ITS1, 5.8S rRNA gene, ITS2, 28S rRNA gene". The stretch from base 657 to 1627 matches the Rfam family "Eukaryotic large subunit ribosomal RNA", at positions 1 to 961 of the family's 3401-position model. The record is from RNAcentral. Lineage: Eukaryota; Fungi.
GGAAGGAUCAUUAUUGAAUAAAUGGUUGAUAGGCUGUUGCUGGCUUCUUUGGAGUAUGUGCACGCUUGUCAUUCUUAUAUUUCCACUUGUGCACUCUUUGUAGAUCCUGGAUGAAUAAUUAUCUGGUUUUCUUUCAAUAGAUUGAGGAUUGCCAAUUCUUUUAUUGAAAGAAUUGGCUUUACCUUGUGUAUCUAGGUUCUAUGUCACUCACAUACUCCUAUGAAUGAAUAGAGUGGAUUAUUGGUCUAGUACCUAAAAUGUUGUAUACAACUUUCAGCAACGGAUCUCUUGGCUCUUGCAUCGAUGAAGAACGCAGCGAAAUGCGAUAAGUAAUGUGAAUUGCAGAAUUCAGUGAAUCAUCGAAUUUUUGAACGCAUCUUGCGCUCCUUGGUAUUCUGAGGAGCAUGCCUGUUUGAGUGUCAUUAAAUUCUCAACUACACUGACUUUUGUUAGUGCAGAUUGGACUUGGGGAAUUAUUUUGUUUUUGCAGGCUUUUUGUCAACAAAAGUCAGCUUCCCUAAAAUUUAUUAGCAAGAGAGUUAUCUCAGUAGAACUGUCUACAGGUGUGAUAAUUUAUCUACGCCUUAGAUGUCUGCAUAGUUAAUCUGCUUCUAAUUUUAAUGUUCCACUUACAGAGGGGUAUUAAUUUGAUAUCUUGACCUCAAAUCAGGUAGGACUACCCGCUGAACUUAAGCAUAUCAAUAAGCGGAGGAAAAGAAACUAACAAGGAUUCCCCUAGUAACUGCGAGUGAAGCGGGAAAAGCUCAAAUUUAAAAUCUGGUGGCUCUGGUCAUCCGAGUUGUAAUCUAAAGAAGUGUUACCCGUGCUGGACCAUGUACAAGUCUCCUGGAAUGGAGCAUCACAGAGGGUGAGAAUCCCGUCUUUGACAUGGACUGCCAGUGCUUUCGUGGUAUGCUCUCAAAGAGUCGAGUUGUUUGGGAAUGCAGCUCAAAAUGGGUGGUAAAUGCCAUCUAAAGCUAAAUAUUGGCAAGAGACCGAUAGUGAACAAGUACCGUGAGGGAAAGAUGAAAAGAACUUUGGAAAGAGAGUUAAACAGUACGUGAAAUUGCUGAAAGGGAAACGCUUAAAGUCAGUCAUGUCGACUUGAAAUCAAUCCUGCUUUUGCUGGAUGUAUUUUCUUGUUAACAGGUCAGCAUCAAUUUUGACCAGUGGACAAAGUUGUUGGGAAUGUGGCAUCUUUGGAUGUGUUAUAGCCUGAUAAUUCAUACAUUGGUUGGAAUUGAGGAACUCAGCAUGCUGCAAGGCCGGGUUUCGACCACGUUCAUGCUUAGGAUGCUGGCAUAAUGGCUUUAAUCGACCCGUCUUGAAACACGGACCAAGGAGUCUAACAUGCCUGCAAGUGUUUGGGUGGAAAACCCAUGCGCGUAAUGAAAGUGAAAGUUUGAGAUCCCUUUGGGGAGCAUUGACACCCAGACCAGACCUUUUGUGAUGGAUCUGCGGUAGAGCAUGUAUGUUGGGACCCGAAAGAUGGUGAACUAUGCCUGAAUAGGGUGAAGCCAGAGGAAACUCUGGUGGAGGCUCGUAGCGAUUCUGACGUGCAAAUCGAUCGUCAAAUUUGGGUAUAGGGGCGAAAGACUAAUCGAACCAUCUAGUAGCUGGUUCCUGC